UUGCGGAUGAUAUCCUCAAGGUCUGAGUAGGAGGAGGAGCCUGUCUCCGCCGAGG
Molecule: non-coding RNA, 55 nt
Filed under: Spodoptera frugiperda (fall armyworm)
Lineage: Eukaryota; Metazoa; Arthropoda; Insecta; Lepidoptera; Noctuidae
Source: RNAcentral